Molecule: long non-coding RNA, 596 nt
Filed under: Homo sapiens (human)
Lineage: Eukaryota; Metazoa; Chordata; Mammalia; Primates; Hominidae
Description: growth arrest specific 5
Source: RNAcentral
CUUUUCGAGGUAGGAGUCGACUCCUGUGAGGUAUGGUGCUGGGUGCAGAUGCAGUGUGGCUCUGGAUAGCACCUUAUGGACAGUUGUGUCCCCAAGGAAGGAUGAGAAUAGCUACUGAAGUCCUAAAGAGCAAGCCUAACUCAAGCCAUUGGCACACAGGCAUUAGACAGAAAGCUGGAAGUUGAAAUGCUCCUGGUAACGUUUUUAUCCAUGGAUGACUUGCUUGGGUAAGGACAUGAAGACAGUUCCUGUCAUACCUUUUAAAGGUAUGGAGAGUCGGCUUGACUACACUGUGUGGAGCAAGUUUUAAAGAAGCAAAGGACUCAGAAUUCAUGAUUGAAGAAAUGCAGGCAGACCUGUUAUCCUAAACUAGGGUUUUUAAUGACCACAACAAGCAAGCAUGCAGCUUACUGCUUGAAAGGGUCUUGCCUCACCCAAGCUAGAGUGCAGUGGCCUUUGAAGCUUACUACAGCCUCAAACUUCUGGGCUCAAGUGAUCCUCAGCCUCCCAGUGGUCUUUGUAGACUGCCUGAUGGAGUCUCAUGGCACAAGAAGAUUAAAACAGUGUCUCCAAUUUUAAUAAAUUUUUGCAAUCCA